This 5729-nucleotide unclassified non-coding RNA is filed under the name Acromyrmex echinatior (Panamanian leafcutter ant). Its description in RNAcentral is "phosphoinositide 3-kinase regulatory subunit 4, transcript variant X1". The record is from RNAcentral. Lineage: Eukaryota; Metazoa; Arthropoda; Insecta; Hymenoptera; Formicidae.
AUGGACGCCGAGAGUGAGUGUAUCGUUUUUAUCUGAACCCUUAUCUUGGCAACAAAAAUUGGCAAAAAUGGGCAAUCAAUUAGUGGGCAUUGCGCCCAGUCAAAUAUUUCCGGUAGAGCACUAUUUGACAGAUCACAGUGAUUUAUUAUUUGAUGUCAAUUUAGGAAGUACUAGAUUCUUCAAAGUGGCUCGAGCCCGUAGUCUGGAGGGGCUGAUAGUUGUAAAAGUGUUCGCAAUUCAUGAUCCAACAUUGCCAUUAUCUACUUAUAAGGACAAGCUGGAGGAGAUCAGGUCAAAGUUAGCCUCUGCUGUCAACUGCCUACCAUUUCAACGAAUGAUUCUCACAGAAAAAGCAGGCUCAAUAAUGCGGGAGUAUGUCAAAUAUUCUCUUUAUGACAGGAUCAGCACUAGGCCAUUUUUAACGAGCAUAGAGAAAAAGUGGAUCACUUUCCAAGUAUUAUACGCUCUUAAUCAAGCUCAUAAGUUCGGUGUUUGUCACGGUGACAUAAAAUUGGAAAAUAUUAUGAUAACUAGUUGGAAUUGGAUAUUACUCACGGAUUUUGCUAGUUUUAAACCAACGUAUUUACCAGAAGAUAAUCCUGCGGAUUUUUCAUAUUUUUUUGAUACUUCCAGAAGAAGAACAUGUUAUAUAGCGCCCGAAAGAUUUGUAAAAACAUUAUCUUCAGAAUUGAGCAAUACAUUGUUAUUACCAGAACAAGAAGUAAAGACAGGUGAUUUGCAUCCGAUGAUGGAUAUUUUUUCUGCAGGCUGUGCUUUAACAGAGUUGUAUAAUGAAGGACAUCCACCAUUCGAUUUUUCACAACUUUUGGCAUAUAGGAACAACGAGUAUUCUGUGAGUAAGCACUUAGACAGUAUAGACGAUCUAGGGAUACGUGAGCUACUUAGUUCAAUGCUGGAAAGAAAUCCAACAAAUAGGAAAAGCGCAGAGAUUUAUCUGGCUCAAACUCGGGGUACCAUCUUUCCGGAAUAUUUUUAUUCCUUUCUCCAGUCUUACAUGCUUAUUUUCUCCGCGGCUCCGAUUUUAUCACCAGACGAGAAAAUAACACGAUUGAAGAAGGACAUUGGCAAUAUUAUAAGUAUACUAAAAGCGGAAGAUAAUGAACGGAUGAAAACGAGUGAAACAAAGCCUGCGGAAACCGCAAAAUCUGGUCAAUGUGAGAGUAAUGUGGAAUCAAUUAAGGAUGAUUCUGGUCACAGCGAAGAAAAUACGAUGGUAGAAGUCGACAGCGAUCAAAGUUCCGAUAAAACCGAUUUAAAUCAAAUUGAUAUGAAGAGCACAACACAAGAUAUUGGCAGUGAUAUUCAAGUGGACGCGGAGCCAGAGAUUAAGUCGCCCGAAGAUAGCAAACAAACUUGUGACGCGGAAUCUAAGAAGUCAAUUUCUACCUCGAGUGAAAUUCUAGAAGGGCUUGUUAUCAUAACUCAACUCGUUACAUCUUGCAUAAGAGGAUUGCAUUACUCGCAAUCCAAAUUGCAUAGUUUAGAGAUAUUAUUAGAAUUGGCUGAAAAUGUUUCUGAUGAGACAAUUCUUGAUAGAAUAUUACCUUAUAUCUUCCAUUUGGUUCAUGAUCCGGCGCCGCGGGUGAGAGUAUCGGCGAUACACACUUUAACAAAGUGUUUACAUCUUGUAAAGUCGAUACCAUCUUCGGAUGUAAACAUAUUCCCUGAGUACAUUCUACCAGGUCUAGCGCACAUAACUCAAGACGAGGCAGUUAUUGUUAGAGCAGCUUAUGCAGAGAAUAUUGCUCAUUUGGCGCACAUCGCUCUACGUUAUUUAGAAAACGCUCAUCUGUCUAACUUGAGUAACAAGGAAGGGCCAAAGCCCAGUUACGAUAGCGAACUGCAAACCUUGCACGAAAUGGUCCAACAAUCAGUGUCCAUGCUGUUAACAGAUCCCAAAAAUUUAGUGAAACAAACAUUAAUGGAGAAUGGAAUAAACAAAUUGUGUGUGUUCUUCGGAAAACAAAAAGCCAAUGAUAUUUUACUUAGUCAUGUUAUCACAUUUUUAAAUGACAAAGAGGACAAGGAACUGAGAGGCUCUUUUUUUGAAUGUAUAGUCGGUGUAGCCGCUUAUGUCGGUUGGCAUAGUAGUCCCAUAUUAAUGCCACUUCUGCAACAAGGUUUAUCCGAUCCUGAAGAAUUUGUAACCACAAAGGCUAUAAAUGCCAUGGCAACACUUACAGAAUUGGGUCUGCUACAUAAAUCUGCUCUUUAUCAAUUAUUAUCUGAAACUAUGGUCUUCCUGGUCCAUCCAAAUCUUUGGAUACGUCAUGCAACCGUCGGCUUUAUUUCCGCGGCAGCAAGAACUCUGAAUGUGGUGGAUGUUCAAUGUAAAGUUCAAACAAUACUCCAACCAUAUCUGAAACAUUCAUUGAUCCAAAUAGAAAAGGAGAUUUUAUUACUCGAGGCACUUGUUCCUCCUAUAUCUAGAAUCGUAUAUGAUUCCGUGGUGAAGUAUAACGAUGUGGAGGAACUAUUCCAAGUACUUGAACAGAGACAGGCAGCCAGAGCAAAAGCCAUAACAGAUGUAGUAUCACCGCAAUACAAUGAUAUGAGUACCUCUUUAAAAAAUCUUUUUAGACGAUUAAGUUCGGAAUCGAUGACUGAGGCAGUUGAGGAUCAAUUGCUAAUCAUGAAACCUCACUUGAUGAAGAUCAACAAGUAUCGCAAUUCCGCGGACACGAAGCAAAAUGUUAUCAAGUCCGUAGACGGUAAACUAGAGUUAAGUCCAAUGAAAGAUAGGAUAAGACAUCAUGUCGUCGUAUUAUAUCCUGAUACUAAGGGAGACUUAACGCUGCCACCUUUCAAGAGAUUGGAUCGAAGAACAUCGGAGACUGUUGGUACAUACGCAACGAUGAAUCAAGAAUGGCGUACGAUGUUUGCAGCUCAAGAUAACGCUCAACACGCUAUUGUUAAAAUGUCAGACAUGACUGGAAGCAGUGGCAGUCCCAGCCAGAGUAUACACAGUGGAGACAUCCAUUUAUCUCCGCAUCAUUGCCUAUCAGAUAUGACCAGCAUUAAUUCUCUCAUGAAUGACCAUUCGCUUCACGAGCGAUCUUAUAUACAAUAUAGAUGUGCGCCCUGUCGCUUAGAAGUACGGCAAUUAACGUACCGGAAGCAAGAGCAACAUGCGGCAGUGUUAAGAACAAAACGUUGGGCUAACAACAUCGCCUGCGAAGCUGGCUCCACAUCACUGCCAAAGGAUUGGAGACCUCGAGGAGUUCCCGUCGCGCAUCUUCACGAACACAGAGCUGCAGUAAAUAGAUUAGUUUCGAUACCGGACACUAACUUGUUCGCAAGUAGUUCCUCCGACGGAUGUAUUAAAAUUUGGGAUGCUAGUAAGAUGGAGGGACGAAAUAUUGCUAAUCGUUCUAGGCAAACGUAUAUGCACAGAGGAGGCCCGCUGGUUGGCUUAACUGUGUGCGACCAAGGGCAAUCUUUAGCAAGCUCUGCGAGCUCUUCUGGAACGGUAUUCGUACUUCGGAUUGAGCCAAACUCGAGUAAAAUGAGCCUGAUUGGCACUCGUCAAUUGGAUCCCCAGGAAGAAGGAAGUGCUGUCGAUCUACAGUAUCUAGAUUCCGGCUCGCAAUCAGUUCUUGUAUACGCCUCCUUGUAUGGAUCGCUAGUAGGUUGGGACCUACGAUGUCCCGGCACAACAUGGCGCUUAGAAAAUGAUUUAAAACAUGGAGUCAUCACGUCAUUUUGCGUAAACAGUCAUCAGCAGUGGUUGACCCUUGGCACGAGUUCCGGUAUUCAUACCUGUUGGGACUUGAGGUUUCAAUUGCCAAUAACGAGUAUCAAGCACCCGACAGGCGCCAGAGUACGAAAGGUGAUUACGCAUCCGAUGGAGCAUUCGUGGAUAAUUUCGGCGGUACAAGGUAACAAUGAGAUAUCCAUGUGGAAUCUAGAGACCGAUCAGCGACAGAUGGUCCUAUGGGCAUCAAAUGCCCCACCGUUGAGUCGUACUCAAGCCGGUCACACUGUAUGUGCCAUGUACGCUGGAUGCAUCGAUUGUUCGGGCUUCCUUUUAGCCGGCGGUACCGAUAUGCGAUUACGCUUCUGGGACUUUGAUAGACCUACCGCUUCUUAUGUUGCUCUGCCCGCUGCUAAUGAUGUUCUCACUCCAAAUUCAUUGGCAUACGAUUUACGUUUGAUAGACGGAACGAACGUCGUGCAGGAGGUAUUGGUGGAUGACGAUUCUAAUCCGUUAUCUGGAAGUGACACAAGAGGAAGAAACAUGGAGGAAGGUGGUCCCGAGACUCCACCCUCCGGUCAGCACGACACAAUCUCCGCUGUAGCUAUGUCGAAUACGUGCAUUCUCACUGGCAGCACAGAUGGUUUGAUACAAGUCUGGAAAUGAUUGUUCUUCUCGGUCCAAAAUUCGAUUACAAAGUUCCUCGCACAGGCGAUAAAAGAUUUUAUCAGUGUAAUGCGGAAUUUCUUCCCGGUAAUAACGAAACCAUUGUGAUCCAAGGUAGUCACGUGGAGGAAUUGUGAUGGCGAUGUAAUUAUGAUAUAACAAUUCCCAUUUUGACAAAAAGCUUUGACAAAAAAUCAUAUAUUUUUAACAAUUUCGUAUAAUUAUCAUUGAUUAUAGGUCUUGUUGGAAAUUAAGGUAUCAUACUAUAUCUCACACAUUGUGUAAAAAAAGUUAACUCUACAAAUCAAAUUAUUUAUUUUCAUCUUUGUUUUACGUAAUUUUUACAAAAUUGAAAAUCUUAUUUCUAAAUAUAAUUUUAUAGAUUAACUAUAGAUGAGUAAAAUUCUCUCACUGUAUUUAAUUAAAACUGUAUUUAAAUUAAACUUUAUAUUGUACAAUUUGCUUAGAUAAUAUUAAAAUGGCUUUUAUUGCUUCUUUAAACUACAAGCAUCAACGUACACACAACACAGCCGUGCUGUACCGAACUCUGUGAUCCUGGACUGUAUAUAAAGUAUGUAAUAUACAUGAUAUUUAAGACUAUGAUUACAAUUGUGCUACGAAGGCGUGCAUUUUUGUUUUUUUAGAAAAUUUGAACGUAAACUUACAUUACAAUGUAACAUAUAUAAUGUAUAUAGCUUAUUUUUAUACGUAAGAUAAGAAGAGAGAGAGAGAGAGAGAGAGAGAGCUUGGAGUAUUACUGAUUUGUAGAUAGAUGGUGAUGACUUAGAAAGUCGAUGUUACACAGAUCGAUAGAUAAGUCUUUGAACUGUAAGUUAGCAGAUAUUUAGUGGGUCUGUACGCGCACUAAAAAUUUAACUGAAAGGUAAAUAAAAGUUAUACUGAGAUGAAGUGACUUUGCAUGAUAGAACACUUUUAAAAUGUCUGAAAAAGAAAUCUAGAAACUACAUUUUUACAGCUUUCGAUCGUAUUCUUUAGCUUUGUUUGUUUGGACUCUGAAAAUUAUUUUUGAUAGUACGAUACGGUUCCUAAUUUCUUUUUCUUGUUUUUAUAUUUAACAAGUGCGAAUACGGACCGAGAAGCGAGGAGUAAUAAAGUUCGCAUACAAAAAGAUGCAAUUGGCGGACAAUUAUCUCCUCACUUCGUACUUUAGUUGAUGAACGCAUACGUAGCUAUAUGUAAUCAUGAAUAUUUGUAUGUAUACUAGCAUUAUGUUUGCUAGCAUUGUCACGGACACAUACGUACACGCAUACUGACUGAAAUACUCAUAACCGGUGGACGUAUACUGUCUAAAACUACGUUGUUACAAUAAAUUCAUAUUUUUAACGCA